RNAcentral lists this ribosomal RNA (373 nucleotides) under uncultured bacterium. RNAcentral describes it as "bacterial SSU rRNA". It matches the Rfam family "Bacterial small subunit ribosomal RNA", at positions 525 to 896 of the family's 1533-position model. The record is from RNAcentral.
ACGGAGGAUGCAAGCGUUAUCCGGAAUUAUUGGGCGUAAAGCGUCCGCAGGUGGUUACUCAAGUCUGCUGUCAAAUACUAGAGCUUAACUCUGGAAGGGCAGUGGAAACUGAGAAACUAGAGUCCGGUAGGGGUAGCGGGAAUUCCCAGUGUAGCGGUGAAAUGCGUAGAUAUUGGGAAGAACAUCGGUGGCGAAAGCGCGCUACUGGGCCGGAACUGACACUCAGGGACGAAAGCUAGGGUAGCGAAAGGGAUUAGAUACCCCUGUAGUCCUAGCCGUAAACGAUGGAAACUAGGUGUGGCUUGUAUCGACCCAAGCCGUGCCGAAGCUAACGCGUUAAGUUUCCCGCCUGGGGAGUACGCACGCAAGUGUG